This is a long non-coding RNA of Armigeres subalbatus, 387 nucleotides long. RefSeq lists it as uncharacterized. NCBI's taxonomy places the organism in Eukaryota, Metazoa, Arthropoda, Insecta, Diptera, Culicidae. The transcript has 3 exons. The record is from RefSeq and is a predicted model, not a curated record.
UCUAAACUAUUGAAUUUGUUAUUCGUUUAUCUAUAGCAAGAAUUGAUAGGUUGGUUAUAUUAGUUUAUCUAUAACGAGAAUUACAUUAAUGCAACCUUGAAAACAGUUAAAACAUGCUCAUCCCAGAAACUAAUUAUUCUUAAAAUUAUAGUUAAAACCAGCGGUUAUAGCACCGACAAAGUUAUAGUCUAAAUUCAUCCAAAACCUAAAUAACAAUCGCAUUUGUACGGAAACUUAAAACCAGCGGUUAUAGCACCGACAAAGUUAUAGUCUAAAUUCAUCCAAAACCUAAAUAACAAUCGCAUUUGUACGGAAACUCGUUGCUUCACCUCAUAGACUAGAGUCGGAAUUCUUAUUGGAAUUUGUAGACAGUGUGAAAACUAAUUU